RNAcentral lists this ribosomal RNA (280 nucleotides) under uncultured bacterium. RNAcentral describes it as "partial 16S ribosomal RNA". It matches the Rfam family "Bacterial small subunit ribosomal RNA", at positions 29 to 334 of the family's 1533-position model. The record is from RNAcentral.
AACGAACGCUGGCGGCAGGCCUAACACAUGCAAGUCGAGCGAAGUUUUUAUUAACUUAGCGGCGGACGGGUGAGUAACACGUGGGAACGUGCCCUUUAGUCAGGAAUAACUCAUGGAAACGUGAGCUAAUACCGGAUACACCCUUCGGGGGAAAGAUUUAUCGCUAAAGGAUCGGCCCGCGGUGGAUUAGGUAGUUGGUGAGGUAAAAGCUCACCAAGCCAACGAUCCAUAGCUGGUUUGAGAGGAUGAUCAGCCACACUGGGACUGAGACACGGCCCAG